Molecule: long non-coding RNA, 2480 nt
Filed under: Gadus morhua (Atlantic cod)
Lineage: Eukaryota; Metazoa; Chordata; Actinopteri; Gadiformes; Gadidae
Description: lncRNA (ENSGMOG00000022375.1)
Source: RNAcentral
CUGGUGUUUAACAGCUCUAGGUCGGGGAGGAGGAGUAUGGGAGGGGGGGGGGAGAGGAAGACCGGGGUCUGUACCGGGGGGGGCCCACCUCGCAGCCAUGCCCCCCCCCCCUCAAAGGGGAGCCUGUUGGAGGAGGGGGUUAAAGUGUGGUGGGGGGCUGUGGUAGAAUAAGGUUCUGCUUCAGCCAGUCGUCCGUGUUCUGCUCCACCCUGUGGACGGUAUGGGGGGGGGGGCCAAGCAGGUUUAAUGGACUCUGCUCAUCUGUUCCCCUGUCUGACCGUCCCUGGUGGGGGGGGGGGUGGUGGUGACGGCGGGGGGGGGUGGCUGCUUGGUGGUGAGCUGCUUGUAUCGUUUUAAAGUAUGUCUUGGUGAUGUGGGGGAGUGGAGGGAGGGGGGGGUGGGGGGGGGGCUGGUUGUCUGUGUGGGGCUGCAUGUGGGGAGUGCAUGUGUGUGUGUGCAUGUGUGUGUGUGUGUGUGCAUGUGUUUAUCUAGUUUGUGUGUCUGUGCAUGUGUUUGUGUGAGUAGUUUGAGUAGGUGUGUGUGUGUGUGUGCGUGUUUAAGUCAGUGUGUCUGUGUGUAAGAGUGUGUGUGUGUGUGUGAGUGAGCGUCCGUGUGUUUGAAUGUGUGUAUUCCUUGUGUGUGCGCGUUGUGUACUCUGCAGGCGUGUCCUGUGUGUGCGUGUCGCGUUGUGUCUUUGUCCCCUCGCCUCUCUUACCCACGAACAGGAAGCAGAGCCCCCCCCGGACGGCGCAGCGGCUCUUGGCCUUGGGGGGCUCGCCCAGACUGAUGCAGGGCAGCGACAUCAGCAGCAGCACCACCGCCAGCAGCGCCAGGGUGGAGGCCGUGAUCAUCAGAGCCCGGGUGGUGUGGAUGUAGGCUGCGGACGGACGGACAGACGCACCGUGACACUCGCACCCACAUUCUAAAGGGAAUUGACUUCCGUAAGCAUCCCUAGACGACAUCAACAACUGGAAACAAACCGAGCAGCGCCUACCUGGCAGCUUCAGGAUCAGGGUGAGGGGCUGACACUCGUAGUGAGCGGAGGACACCGAGCACUCCGCCCAGGGACCCUUGAGGUUGCUCUCUUCGGACUUCUUGCAGGCGUUCGUGCCGUAUUUACACAUGAUGACCCAGUUGUUGGUGGAGGUGGCGACCAGGAUGCACAGCCACCCGGGGCAGCCCAUAAGGAAGCCGCCAACUUGCGACCGGCCAUGGAUCACAGAAGAUCGUUCACUAAAUACACGAAGUGAGAACAAAAACAAACGAGACUCGCAAAUCCUAACCUCGAAAAGGGGAGAAAAAAUAAAAUCGUUGAUGUAAAAAAUGUUUACAGUACAAUCCAAUCCAGUACUGUGUGAUCGAGGUGUCCAGUUGACAGAAUAAUUAUCUAGUUACAGAUUCGUCGUGACUUUCUCAAGGAUGAUGUCUGCAUUCCACCGGCCCAGUACUUUUGGUUGAUGAAAAAAAAUACUUGCGUGAAACGUCAACCAAUCAGAGACUUGGGAAUAACUAUCCAAAAGAAGAAGGACGUCGCUCUAUCAAUCUCUCUGGAAAGUGGUCUGCACUUACCCUGCCUCGGGCCCUAUCAUUCUCAACCUUUUAGAGCAGUUUGUCGGAGACGAAUGAAUCUAAGGAGAUCUGGCUCCAUCUAGUAGUCAUGACAGGUAACGUCAGUGAAAUAUAAAGUAUGCAAACAGUAAAUGUUGACACAUGUAGGCUAACCCUAACUCCCCGGGGGGGAGGGAGAAACUGAGUUAUAUUUCAUUACUUGCAUGUGUUUUCUUUUACUUAUCUAUUAUUUAAUUUAAUUGUAUGACAAUGUUUAUAUGUGAAGCACUUUGAGUCUGCCUUGUGUAUGAAAAGUGCUAUGUAAAUAAAGUUGCCUUCCCUUGCCUUGCCUACUUUAAUAAGCUCAUAUGUAUUUGAUUCUUUAUAUAGUUUUGUGUCUGUUUUUACUACUGUCCUGUACUUUCGAUUAUGACGACGCCUUUUACAUGUGAGGGCGUUGUUUUCCUACUAUCAUAUAUUCAUAAUUCAACCAAAGGCGGUGUCACGUUAAAAUUGUACCGGGUGCGAAAAUUGUACCGGCCUACGUCAUCAGUUGUUUACAUCUUGACAACCUGCCUGGCAACAAACGACGCGAUCGUCUGUUCCCGGGCAGGUUGCAAAAAACAUUCGGCUCAUGUUUCCAAAAGACGAAAUAACAUAAUACAGAUAACGGAUCGCUAGAUAACACUUGUUUUUACUUUAUAUUUGUAUUGUAUUUAAUUGUUUAUUCGAAUAGCAACAGACGACGUGAUCGUCUGUUGCCGGGAAACGGGCGAUCGCGUCAAAUGACGUAGGAAGGUUCUUGAACAUUCGCGUCCUACGUCAUUUGACGCGAUCGCCCGUUUCCCGACGGGCGAUCUGUGUCCAGACGCCGUCAGGGUCUCUAUGUUUAGAUUGUGCAUUUUACCUAUUUUUUUUAUAUUUAAUCUUUU